AUAAAAUAAAAUAAAAAAUUCAUUUGCUCUUUAUAAUUUAAUACAUAUCUUUUUACUGUUACUGUAAUUUUCUUGAUUGUUGUUAUAGUUCUUGACUGCAGUAGAGCCCUUAAGAUUAUGAAGGGGACGGCAUGUGCAAUUCAGAAGCUGCGUAGGCAAGAGCCACCGCUCAUCCAUGGGGAUUUAAGGCUCAACAACGUUUUGUUGGAUAAGGUGACCCACAAAAUUAUCUAAUAAAGACCAUACUAAUAAAUUAACCACUGUUCUGGGCUACUGUUCUUGAACAGGAUUUCACUCCCAAACUAGCUGAUUCUGGUAUGGUUACUUCGGAGGGAGAGAAUUUACAGUCAAGAACCAGACUAGAAGACAUUUACGGCUUAGGCGUGAUGACAUUACAAGUAAUGAUGAAGAAAAAGAAUGCCUCAUUGCUGCCUGGAGUUAGAAUUCCAUGGCACAUAAGCGAGCAGGCAAGCAGAAUUUACUUACAACAAAAGCAUGCAGUGGAUUUAGCAUUAAUAACCACGGGAUGCACCAAAAGAGCUGCCACUGCAAUUAGACUGUGUCGAGGCCAAAGCAUCUGAGCGCCCAACCAUUGCUGAAGUCAUUCUUAGGCUUAAAAAUUUACAGGCCAAGAAACCCUGAUUAUACAGAAACUUGCCAUCACAAAAAUGAAUUACUCCACCACAUAAGAGAAAAGUUAAGUAAGAAAUUAUAACUUCUCCUACACUACUCUUUGUAUAUAGUCCUUCAAAGAGUUUUAACACAGAUGUAUAUCCAAAAUUUCAAUUUGAAACUUUAGUUAAGUUAGAAUAGACUCUUAACAUCUCAUCUACGUGCCUUUAGAUUAUAUAUGACUUAUAUUUUAUUUAAUACUAUAUCUAAAAAAGAUUAAUUAAAAUUUUGAGAAAGAAAAAAAAGAAAAGUAAAGAAAACUAAGCCAGCUGUAUGGGAUAGUUUGUUACGUAUUUGUUAUUUGUUUUUUUUCUUUUCUAUUUUUUUGUUCCUAUCUUUAGAUCAGUUUUUUUGUUAUUAUUCCUUUUGUUCCCUUUUGUAAUCUCGAACUAUAAAUAAGAGAUAAGCAUAUGCUAUAAGUGUUUUUUCUUUGUGCCAUUAAUCAAUUUUCUUCUUUGUUUCUCUUCAUGGUAUCAGAGCGGUUAGCUCGAAACAGGAGAUUCCAUUUUUGCAAAUAUAUAACCAUUGUUGCUGAUUCUUCAAACAGCAGCCAAAAAACAAAUCAUUCACAAAACAAUGAUUCACCAGGAAUGCCUCUUAUUUCUACUCUAAUGAAUGAAAAUAAUUACAUACCUUGGAGUAGAUCUGUGAAACUAGCUCUUGGAGCUAAAGACAAACUCGGUUACAUCAAUGGUGAGAUUGCAAAAUCAGCAUCAACUGCUAAGAAAUAUAAAAUGUGGAAGAAAACUGAUUGUCUAGUAGCUGCUUGGAUUUUGAGUUCUAUUUCAAAGGAGCAUGCUGAGGGAUUCAUCUAUUGCAGCUCUACUAAGGAUCUAUGGGAAGAAAUACAAUAAAGACUUGAAGAGAGUAAUGGUCCUCUGGAAUAUCAAAUUCAGAGAGAAAUUAAUAAUCUCAAACAAGAUAAUAUGUCUAUGUCUCUCUACUAUACCAAACUGAAGAAAUUAUAGGAUGAAAUGAGUAGUAUGGUGCCUAUACCUCAUUGUGAUUGUACUGGAUGCAACUGUGAUGUUAUGAAACAAAUAAAUGUUAUGAGAAA
Molecule: long non-coding RNA, 1729 nt
Organism: Ricinus communis (castor bean)
Lineage: Eukaryota; Viridiplantae; Streptophyta; Magnoliopsida; Malpighiales; Euphorbiaceae
Exons: 2
Source: RefSeq, a predicted model, not a curated record